GUCUGAUUGAAGGUACCUAAAACUUACUUGGGAAUGUUAGUUGGUUCAGUAUGUGCGUUAAUGGGUGUACUGACUAUCGCAUUACCGGUCCCUGUUAUUGUUGCAAAC
Molecule: non-coding RNA, 108 nt
Organism: Enterobius vermicularis (human pinworm)
Lineage: Eukaryota; Metazoa; Nematoda; Chromadorea; Rhabditida; Oxyuridae
Source: Rfam